ACAGAUAUCCACAGAUAUUUAUGCAAGUAUUAAAUACAUGCGCAUGCCUUACAAAUGCAACUAUGCAAAUCAUGCAACUCAUGCAAGUAGAUUAAUUAAUUCUACUCUCUAUCACUUGCCAUUCUUUAUUCUUUGCCAUUCUUUGCUAUUUGCUAUUCUUUAUUACUAGUCGUUCUUUAUUCUUGACAUUCUUUAUUCUCGACAUUCUUUAUUCUUGACAUUCUUUAUUCUCGACAUUCUUUAUUCUUUUCUAAGGUUACAUUUACCUUAGCCAACUAUGCCACUCGACUCGGUCUUGAGUCAAUCAUCUGCGGAUAAUCCGCGCUCUAUCAGGCUCGAGGUGAAGGAACUCUCACAUACACCUCAGCCUUCAAUCCACAAACCACAUCGCCCAAU
RNAcentral lists this long non-coding RNA (396 nucleotides) under Ananas comosus (pineapple). RNAcentral's name for it is "long non-coding RNA (ACOM_LNC043105)". Lineage: Eukaryota; Viridiplantae; Streptophyta; Magnoliopsida; Poales; Bromeliaceae. The record is from RNAcentral.